RNAcentral lists this long non-coding RNA (204 nucleotides) under Musa acuminata (dwarf banana). Its description in RNAcentral is "long non-coding RNA (MACU_LNC010414)". Lineage: Eukaryota; Viridiplantae; Streptophyta; Magnoliopsida; Zingiberales; Musaceae. The record is from RNAcentral.
CAGCUUGUAUGCAUUGUCAUUUAUUUUUUGAAGUACUCGAAAUGGAUCAUCUCCUCUUGGCAUUAGUUUAGACUUCCUUUGGCUACGAAAUCUUUCCUUCCUCAAGUGUAACCAAACCCAAUUACCAGGUUUAAAUACUACUUGCUUUUGGCCUUUGUUGUAUUGUUUCUCAUAUUGUAUAGUUUUCUUUUUAAUUUGUGUUCG